GACGAAGGAUGCAAGCGUUAUCCGGAUUCAUUGGGUUUAAAGGGAGCGUAGGUGGCCUUAUAAGUCAGUGGUGAAAUCUCGCAGCUUAACUGCGAAAUUGCCAUUGAUACUGUAGGGCUUGAGUACAGUUGCCGUUGGCGGAAUAUGACAUGUAGUGGUGAAAUACAUAGAGAUGUCAUAGAACACCGAUUGCGAAGGCAGCUAACGAAACUGUAACUGACACUGAGGCCCGAAAGUGCGGGGAUCAAACAGG
Molecule: ribosomal RNA, 253 nt
Filed under: uncultured bacterium
Lineage: Bacteria
Description: partial 16S ribosomal RNA
Rfam family: Bacterial small subunit ribosomal RNA
Source: RNAcentral